Molecule: ribosomal RNA, 468 nt
Filed under: uncultured bacterium
Lineage: Bacteria
Description: partial 16S ribosomal RNA
Rfam family: Bacterial small subunit ribosomal RNA
Source: RNAcentral
GACGAACGCUGGCGGCGUGCUUAACACAUGCCAGUCGAACGGUGAAGCUCCAGCUUGCUGGAGUGGAUCAGUGGCGAACGGGUGAGUAACACGUGAGCAACCUGCCCCUGACUCUGGAAUAAGCGCUGGAAACGGCGUCUAAUACUGGAUACGAGAAGGGUCCGCAUGGGCACUUUCUGGAAAGUUUUUCGGUUGGGGAUGGGCUCGCGGCCUAUCAGCUUGUUGGUGAGGUAAUGGCUCACCAAGGCGACGACGGGUAGCCGGCCUGAGAGGGCGACCGGCCACACUGGGACUGAGACACGGCCCAGACUCCUACGGGGGGCAGCAGUGGGGAAUAUUGCACAAUGGGCGAAAGCCUGAUGCAGCGACGCCGCGUGAGGGAUGACGGCCUUCGGGUUGUAAACCUCUUUCAGCAGGGAAGAAGCGAAAGUGACGGUACCUGCAGAAGAAGCACCGGCUAACUACGUG